GAGUUUGAUCCUGGCUCAGGAUGAACGCUAGCGGCAGGCUUAAUACAUGCAAGUCGUGGGGCAGCAGGGGUAGCAAUACCCGCUGGCGACCGGCAAACGGGUGAGGAACAUGUACGCAACCUUCCUUUAACUGGAGAAUAGCCCCUCGAAAGAGGGAUUAAUACUCCGUAACAUGAUGAAGUGGCAUCACUUUAUUAUUAUAGCUCCGGCGGUUAAAGAUGGGCGUGCACCUGAUUAGAUAGUUGGCGGGGUAAUGGCCCACCAAGUCUACGAUCAGUAACUGGUGUGAGAGCACGACCAGUCACACGGGCACUGAGACACGGGUCCGACUCCUACGGGAGGCAGCAGUAAGGAAUAUUGGUCAAUGGACGCAAGUCUGAACCAGCCAUGCCGCGUGGAGGAUUAAGGCCCUCUGGGUUGUAAACUCCUUUUAUCUGGGAAGAAAUGUUCCGAUUCUUCGGAGCUUGACGGUACCAGAGGAAUAAGCACCGGCUAACUCCGUGCCAGCAGCCGCGGUAAUACGA
RNAcentral lists this ribosomal RNA (524 nucleotides) under uncultured soil bacterium. RNAcentral describes it as "bacterial SSU rRNA". It matches the Rfam family "Bacterial small subunit ribosomal RNA", at positions 9 to 528 of the family's 1533-position model. The record is from RNAcentral.